RNAcentral lists this ribosomal RNA (253 nucleotides) under uncultured bacterium. RNAcentral's name for it is "partial 16S ribosomal RNA". It matches the Rfam family "Bacterial small subunit ribosomal RNA", at positions 524 to 776 of the family's 1533-position model. The record is from RNAcentral.
UACGUAGGGGGCAAGCGUUGCCCGGAUUUAUUGGGCGUAAAGAGCGUGUAGGCGGCCAUACAGGUCAGCUGUGAAAACUCGAGGCUCAACCUCGAGACGUCGGUUGAAACCGUAUGGCUAGAGUCCGGAAGAGGAGAGUGGAAUUCCCGGUGUAGCGGUGAAAUGCGCAGAUAUCGGGAAGAACACCCGUGGCGAAGGCGGCUCUCUGGGACGGUACUGACGCUGAGACGCGAAAGCGUGGGGAGCGAACAGG